This 95-nucleotide transfer RNA is filed under the name Mycolicibacterium chubuense. RNAcentral's name for it is "tRNA-Sec". It matches the Rfam family "Selenocysteine transfer RNA". Lineage: Bacteria; Bacillati; Actinomycetota; Actinomycetes; Mycobacteriales; Mycobacteriaceae. RNAcentral also lists the same sequence under 5 other names. The record is from RNAcentral.
GGAGGCGUAUCCGGUCUGGUGACCGGCCCGAUCUUCAAAAUCGCUGAGUGGCAGUUCCUGUCGCUGGCGGGUUCGAUUCCCGUCCGCCUCCGCCA